CCUACGGGGGGCAGCAGUGGGGAAUAUUGGACAAUGGGGGCAACCCUGAUCCAGCCAUGCCGCGUGUGUGAAGAAGGCCCUCGGGUUGUAAAGCACUUUCAGUGAGGAAGAACGCCUGGUGGUUAAUACCCAUCAGGAAAGACAUCACUCACAGAAGAAGCACCGGCUAACUCCGUGCCAGCAGCCGCGGUAAUACGGAGGGUGCGAGCGUUAAUCGGAAUUACUGGGCGUAAAGCGCGCGUAGGUGGCUUGAUAAGCCGGUUGUGAAAGCCCCGGGCUCAACCUGGGAACGGCAUCCGGAACUGUCAAGCUAGAGGGCAGGAGAGGAAGGUAGAAUUCCCGGUGUAGCGGUGAAAUGCGUACAGAUCGGGAGGAAUAACAGUGGCGAAGGCGGCCUUCUGGACUGACAAUGACACUGAGGUGCGAAAGCGUGGGUAGCAAACAGGAUUAGAUACCCCAGUAGUC
Molecule: ribosomal RNA, 465 nt
Filed under: Vreelandella stevensii
Lineage: Bacteria; Pseudomonadati; Pseudomonadota; Gammaproteobacteria; Oceanospirillales; Halomonadaceae
Description: partial 16S ribosomal RNA
Rfam family: Bacterial small subunit ribosomal RNA
Source: RNAcentral